Cynoglossus semilaevis (tongue sole) is the source of this 223-nucleotide long non-coding RNA. RefSeq lists it as uncharacterized. Lineage: Eukaryota; Metazoa; Chordata; Actinopteri; Pleuronectiformes; Cynoglossidae. The record is from RefSeq and is a predicted model, not a curated record. The transcript is spliced from 3 exons.
UGGAAAUCUGGUGUCCUGGACUGUAGGGGGAAGGUACCACAGGUGGACCGACUCCUUGGUAGAAAGAUCUUCUCAACCACAGGACAUCUUCAGGAUUCCAAGGACCUGAGUUCACUAAGAAUGGAGAAGUUGGAUCCUGGUUAGAGGGACCUAAGUACAGGAGCCAUCACUGUCAUUGGAGAAGAUUUCUGCUGCUGCUGCUGGAGGGUUCACACAUCUCAGG